This 770-nucleotide ribosomal RNA is filed under the name uncultured Campylobacter sp. RNAcentral's name for it is "bacterial SSU rRNA". It matches the Rfam family "Bacterial small subunit ribosomal RNA", at positions 427 to 1211 of the family's 1533-position model. Lineage: Bacteria; Pseudomonadati; Campylobacterota; Epsilonproteobacteria; Campylobacterales; Campylobacteraceae. The record is from RNAcentral.
AAACUCCUUUUCUUGGGAAAGAAUUAUGACGGUACCCAAGGAAUAAGCACCGGCUAACUCCGUGCCAGCAGCCGCGGUAAUACGGAGGGUGCAAGCGUUACUCGGAAUCACUGGGCGUAAAGGACGCGUAGGCGGAUUAUCAAGUCUCUUGUGAAAUCUAACGGCUUAACCGUUAAACUGCUUGGGAAACUGAUAAUCUAGAGUAAGGGAGAGGCAGAUGGAAUUCUUGGUGUAGGGGUAAAAUCCGUAGAGAUCAAGAAGAAUACCCAUUGCGAAAGCGAUCUGCUGGAACUUAACUGACGCUAAUGCGUGAAAGCGUGGGGAGCAAACAGGAUUAGAUACCCUGGUAGUCCACGCCCUAAACGAUGUAUACUAGUUGUUGCUUCGCUAGUCGAGGCAGUAAUGCACCUAACGGAUUAAGUAUACCGCCUGGGGAGUACGGUCGCAAGAUUAAAACUCAAAGGAAUAGACGGGGACCCGCACAAGCGGUGGAGCAUGUGGUUUAAUUCGAAGAUACGCGAAGAACCUUACCCGGACUUGAUAUCUAACAAAUCAUCCAGAGAUGGAAGAGUGUCUGCUUGCAGAAAUGUUAAGACAGGUGCUGCACGGCUGUCGUCAGCUCGUGUCGUGAGAUGUUGGGUUAAGUCCCGCAACGAGCGCAACCCACGUCAUUAGUUGCUAACGGUUCGGCCGAGCACUCUAAUGAGACUGCCUUCGCAAGGAGGAGGAAGGUGUGGACGACGUCAAGUCAUCAUGGCCCUUAUGUCCGG